This 564-nucleotide ribosomal RNA is filed under the name Metarhizium anisopliae. RNAcentral's name for it is "eukaryotic LSU rRNA". The stretch from base 169 to 322 matches the Rfam family "5.8S ribosomal RNA". The record is from RNAcentral. Lineage: Eukaryota; Fungi; Ascomycota; Sordariomycetes; Hypocreales; Clavicipitaceae.
CCGUAGGGGUAACCUGCGGAGGGAUCAUUACCGAGUUAUCCAACUCCCAMCCCCUGUGAAUUAUACCUUUAAUUGUUGCUUCGGCGGGACUUCGCGCCCGCCGGGGACCCAAACCUUCUGAAUUUUUUAAUAAGUAUCUUCUGAGUGGUUAAAAAAAAAAUGAAUCAAAACUUUCAACAACGGAUCUCUUGGUUCUGGCAUCGAUGAAGAACGCAGCGAAAUGCGAUAAGUAAUGUGAAUUGCAGAAUUCAGUGAAUCAUCGAAUCUUUGAACGCACAUUGCGCCCGUCAGUAUUCUGGCGGGCAUGCCUGUUCGAGCGUCAUUACGCCCCUCAAGUCCCCUGUGGACUUGGUGUUGGGGAUCGGCGAGGCUGGUUUUCCAGCACAGCCGUCCCUUAAAUUAAUUGGCGGUCUCGCCGUGGCCCUCCUCUGCGCAGUAGUAAAGCACUCGCAACAGGAGCCCGGCGCGGUCCACUGCCGUAAAACCCCCCAACUUUUUAUAGUUGACCUCGAAUCAGGWWGKACKACCCGCUGAACUUAAGCAUAUCAAUAAGCCGGAGGGAAA